CUGGCCAUGCUAUUUAAAUCCCCCCCCCACUAUUCAACCAUUCCUCACCAAAUCCAUCAGAAGCUUCUCCUCUCUCUCUCUCUCUCUCUCUCUCUCUCUCUCUCUCCCCUAUCCAAUCUUCCUAAAUCAUCAUAAAACAUGUCCAAGAAGAUCAUGGUUGUUGUGUUCAUUGCUCUCCUCCUGUUGUCCUUAGCUCAUGCAGGCAGGCCAAACCCAAUGGAUCCAAAGAAGAGCAGUCUUCAGGCUGUUGAGAAGGAGAUGGGUGGUGGGAGAAUGGAAGGAUGUGAAGGAGCUGGGGAGGAUGAAUGCUUGGUGAGGAGGACCCUUGCUGCCCACACUGACUACAUCUACACCCAGGAGCACCAUUAGGGACUUGUAGGAUAGCUUACAACUAUGCUGCGUGAGUGGGGAUUCCUAGUGUCUGGGUUUCUUUGGCUUCUUCUUCUCUAGGAAGUUUGGAGAGACCAUGUAAAUCACUU
Musa acuminata AAA Group (dessert banana) is the source of this 479-nucleotide RNA transcript. RefSeq lists it as uncharacterized. NCBI's taxonomy places the organism in Eukaryota, Viridiplantae, Streptophyta, Magnoliopsida, Zingiberales, Musaceae. The record is from RefSeq and is a predicted model, not a curated record. The transcript has 2 exons.